GAUGAACGCUGGCGGCGUGCCUAAUACAUGCAAGUCGAGCGAACAGACGAGGAGCUUGCUCCUCUGACGUUAGCGGCGGACGGGUGAGUAACACGUGGAUAACCUACCUAUAAGACUGGGAUAACUUCGGGAAACCGGAGCUAAUACCGGAUAAUAUAUUGAACCGCAUGGUUCAAUAGUGAAAGACGGUUUUGCUGUCACUUAUAGAUGGAUCGGCGCCGCAUUAGCUAGUUGGUAAGGUAACGGCUUACCAAGGCAACGAUGCGUAGCCGACCUGAGAGGGUGAUCGGCCACACUGGAACUGAGACACGGACCAGACUCCUACGGGAGGCAGCAGUAGGGAAUCUUCCGCAAUGGGCGAAAGCCUGACGGAGCAACGCCGCGUGAGUGAUGAAGGUCUUCGGAUCGUAAAACUCUGUUAUUAGGGAAGAACAAAUGUGUAAGUAACUAUGCACGUCUUGACGGUACCUAAUCAGAAAGCCACGGCUAACUACGUG
Molecule: ribosomal RNA, 497 nt
Filed under: uncultured bacterium
Lineage: Bacteria
Description: partial 16S ribosomal RNA
Rfam family: Bacterial small subunit ribosomal RNA
Source: RNAcentral